This 238-nucleotide ribosomal RNA is filed under the name uncultured bacterium. RNAcentral's name for it is "partial 16S ribosomal RNA". It matches the Rfam family "Bacterial small subunit ribosomal RNA", at positions 96 to 334 of the family's 1533-position model. The record is from RNAcentral.
CGGCGGACGGGUGAGUAACGCGUGGGUAACCUGCCUCAUACAGGGGGAUAACAGUUAGAAAUGGCUGCUAAUACCGCAUAAGACCACAGCACCGCAUGGUGCAGGGGUAAAAACUCCGGUGGUAUGAGAUGGACCCGCGUCUGAUUAGGUAGUUGGUGGGGUAACGGCCUACCAAGCCGACGAUCAGUAGCCGACCUGAGAGGGUGACCGGCCACAUUGGGACUGAGACACGGCCCAG